GCAAGCCACACACUGGGCACCGAGACCGACGGCUCCAUACUCUGCCCGUCCUCGUUCAACUCGGUAGUCGGCAUCAAGCCCACCCUCGGGCUCACGAGCCGGGCCGGCGUCGUGCCCAUCACCCCGUUGCAGGACACCGUCGGACCCAUGUGCCGGACGGUGUCGGACGCGGUGCACGUGCUGGACGCCAUCGUCGGCUACGACGAGAACGACGCCGCGGCCACCGGAUCAGCGUCCAAGUACAUCCCUCACGGCGGGUACACGCAGUUCCUGAAGAAAGACGGGCUGAAAGGGAAGAGGAUCGGCGUCCCCAAUGGCUUCUUCCAGAGAUAUGGGCAGACGCAGCUGAAUGUGUACAAGCAGCACCUCACCACAAUGAGGGAACUCGGAGCAGUGGUGAUUGAGAAGCUGGACGUCGCUGCCAAUUUGAGCGCUCUAUUGGAUGAGAUUGGUUCCAACGAGGCGAUUGCGAUGCAGGCAGAGUUCAAGCUAAGCAUAAACGCCUACUUGGCAGACUUGGUCCACUCCCCGGUCCAUUCGCUUGCAGACAUCAUAGCCUUCAACAACAAUCAUCCUGUGGAGGAGAGACUGAAAGAUUUCAGGCAGCCCGACCUUAUCUCGGCCCAAAACACAAACGGCAUCGGCCCCAGGGAGAGAGCCGCGAUCGGUCGCCUGAAGGAACUGAACGUGGAAGGGCUAGAGAACCUGAUGAAGGAACGCCAACUGGACGCGAUCGUGGCGCCUAACAGCGUUAUUUCUAGCCUUCUCGCCAUCGGUGGACAUCCUGGCAUCGUUGUGCCGGCAGGCUACGACGAGAAGGGGGUCCCCUUUGGCAUAUGUUUCGGCGGGCUGCAGGGGUACGAGCCGAGGCUGAUCGAGGUGGCCUAUGCUUUCGAGCAGGCUACCAAAGUUAGAAGGCAACCCAUGUUCAAGCCCUAG
Molecule: ribosomal RNA, 939 nt
Filed under: Triticum aestivum (bread wheat)
Lineage: Eukaryota; Viridiplantae; Streptophyta; Magnoliopsida; Poales; Poaceae
Description: partial small subunit ribosomal RNA
Source: RNAcentral